RNAcentral lists this ribosomal RNA (459 nucleotides) under uncultured bacterium. RNAcentral describes it as "partial 16S ribosomal RNA". It matches the Rfam family "Bacterial small subunit ribosomal RNA", at positions 338 to 795 of the family's 1533-position model. The record is from RNAcentral.
CCUACGGGAGGCAGCAGUGAGGAAUAUUGGUCAAUGGGAGAGAUCCUGAACCAGCCAAGCCGCGUGAGGGAAGACGGCCCUAUGGGUUGUAAACCUCUUUUGUCGGAGAACAAAACCCGGGACGUGUCCCGUACUGCGUGUAUCCGAAGAAAAAGCAUCGGCUAACUCCGUGCCAGCAGCCGCGGUAAUACGGGGGAUGCGAGCGUUAUCCGGAUUUAUUGGGUUUAAAGGGUGCGUAGGCGGUCCGUUAAGUCAGCGGUAAAAUUGCGGGGCUAAACCCCGACGAGCCGUUGAAACUGGCAGACUUGAGUUGGCGAGAAGUACGCGGAAUGCGCGGUGUAGCGGUGAAAUGCAUAGAGAUGGCGCAGAACUCCGAUGGCGAAGGCAGCGUACCGGCGCCAGACUGACGCUGAGGUACGAAAGCGUGGGGAUCGAACAGGAUUAGAUACCCCAGUAGUC